Molecule: ribosomal RNA, 487 nt
Filed under: uncultured bacterium
Lineage: Bacteria
Description: bacterial SSU rRNA
Rfam family: Bacterial small subunit ribosomal RNA
Source: RNAcentral
AUUGAACGCUGGCGGCGUGCUUAACACAUGCAAGUCGAGCGGCAGCGCGGGAGCAAUCCUGGCGGCGAGCGGCGAACGGGUGAGUAAUGCUUCGGAAUCUGCCCUUCAGUGGGGAAUAACCAGUCGAAAGACUGGCUAAUACCGCAUACGAACUGAGGUUGAAAGCAGGGGAUCGCAAGACCUUGCGCUGAUGGAUGAGCCGAAGUCGGAUUAGCUUGUUGGUGGGGUAAUGGCCUACCAAGGCGACGAUCCGUAGCUGGUCUGAGAGGACGACCAGCCACACUGGGACUGAGACACGGCCCAGACUCCUACGGGAGGCAGCAGUGGGGAAUAUUGGACAAGUGGGGGCAACCCUGAUCCAGCGACGCCGCGUGUGUGAAGAAGGCCUGCGGGUUGUAAAGCACGUUUUAGUGGGGAGGAAGGUCUGCGACCUAACACGUCGUGGAAUUGACUUAACCACAGAAAAAGCACCGGCUAACUCUGUGCC